UACACAUAACACAAGAGUCGCGACCUGAAGACAUCGGUACAGAAAUCGUGACUUAAAAUCACAGCGUCCCCUGGUGGCAACAGCAAAUGUCUUGUUUUUCUAUGUGUUACAGUUUGAUUCACUACUCGUAGGGCCUUCAUUAAAUCAACGUAAAAAUUUGAUGCAUGUGUUCAAAACAAGAUGAAGAUCUAAAGUUAACGAAAUUGCAACUUUUCAUAAUACUGUGUGACCGUGGUGUGGCUUCCAGUUUGAGGAAUGAAAACAUCUAUAUCUGGCAGAUGUGCUGCAAUAUUUAGUCACUAGAUGGCAGUGUCAGACCAUGCUUUGUGUUAUCUAUGCAUUAACAGACUGUGUUUACAGGGUGGCCAACUUUAGAGGAGAAUUAAACCUUUUACAGCAUUGCUCAAACUUUGGUUUUAGUCUCAAUCGCUAAGUUCUUCCUUCAUGACAACUCUGAGGGGGGUGUAUUUUAUUUUAACUCCCUCGUUUAAGCGAUAUAGAUGUUUGAAAUUCACGUGACGUCACAGGGACGCGCACCCACUUCCUGGUGCCAUGCUGCGGUUUCAGCUCAAUAGAGUGAGCAGCACACGCCUCAUCAGACUGUCCGCGGCUUCCACUCCCAUAUCGUAUGAGAAACACGGUUUGAAGUUCUGCUUGUUCUCCUGAGGGACACGUCAAAGACGUCUGCGCUCUGUGAUCUGUGUAUUGGUUUUAAGUACCUGUAGAAGGUCCAACUUGACACACAACUUGAAUCCAACCACACUGAACACUGACUCCAGGGACAGACGAGCCUGAAGGACACAGCUGUGAUGACCAUGUUCUGUCUCUUAUGGCAAAGCAGAAAUAUUAAACACUGGGUUGACCAGCAUAAAGCUGCAGAUCUCCACCAUGUUGCAACUGAGGAUUUCAGGAGCUGCAUUAAUGAGGAGCAGAAGCGCACUGUUAUGAAUGUUUUGUGUUGUGUAUGAAGCACCACAUAUUUCAGAUAGAACCAAUGUACUGGGGUCUGGGUUUGUAUCCUAAUGGUUAAAUGCACAUACUUUAAAUCGCUUUUGAUAAAACGUGAGAAAGAAAUACAACAUUGUAUACAUAAAAUGUCUUUCUACCUCAUCUGUAAUAUUCAAGGUGAUGAUCUCCCACAGAGCUGUUGAUAACAGUCCACAUCAAGUCUCUCCACUUCCCUCAGUGUGAAAACAUAAUUAUAUAAUUAAUGUGAGAACUGUUUACAACACUGAUUUGUGGACAUUAUAAUCUUAUCUACACUGUCUAAUUCACUCGACAACUCCAUGACAGACUAAAUAAACGAUGUGAAAAUAGUAAUGGUGGAUAUACCAGCCUGUAUCAGAAUAUUGGUGAAACAUAGUUACUAUCACAUGCAACGUACACGUGUAGCGUAUUGAUAGUAACUUAUUAAAAAAAUAAAUAAAGUCACAACCAAAACAAGA
This is a long non-coding RNA of Pleuronectes platessa (European plaice), 1445 nucleotides long. RefSeq lists it as uncharacterized. The record is from RefSeq and is a predicted model, not a curated record. NCBI's taxonomy places the organism in Eukaryota, Metazoa, Chordata, Actinopteri, Pleuronectiformes, Pleuronectidae. The transcript has 3 exons.